RNAcentral lists this transfer RNA (71 nucleotides) under Bos taurus (domestic cattle). It matches the Rfam family "tRNA". From Rfam's summary of the family: Transfer RNA (tRNA) molecules are approximately 80 nucleotides in length. Their secondary structure includes four short double-helical elements and three loops (D, anti-codon, and T loops). RNAcentral also lists the same sequence under 3 other names. Lineage: Eukaryota; Metazoa; Chordata; Mammalia; Artiodactyla; Bovidae. The record is from Rfam by way of RNAcentral.
UCCUGGUGGCUCAGACGGUAAAGCGUCUGCCUGCAAUGCGGGAGACCUGGGUUCGAUUCCUGGGUUGGGAA